This 497-nucleotide ribosomal RNA is filed under the name uncultured bacterium. RNAcentral describes it as "partial 16S ribosomal RNA". It matches the Rfam family "Bacterial small subunit ribosomal RNA", at positions 28 to 507 of the family's 1533-position model. The record is from RNAcentral.
GAUGAACGCUGGCGGCGUGCCUAAUACAUGCAAGUCGAGCGAACAGACGAGGAGCUUGCGCCUCUGACGUUAGCGGCGGACGGGUGAGUAACACGUGGAUAACCUACCUAUAAGACUGGGAUAACUUCGGGAAACCGGAGCUAAUACCGGAUAAUAUAUUGAACCGCAUGGUUCAAUAGUGAAAGACGGUUUUGCUGUCACUUAUAGAUGGAUCCGCGCCGCAUUAGCUAGUUGGUAAGGUAACGGCUUACCAAGGCAACUAUGCGUAGCCGACCUGAGAGAGUGAUCGGCCACACUGGAACUUAGACACGGUCCAGACUCCUACGGGAGGCAGCAGUAGGGAAUCUUCCGCAAUGGGCGAAAGCCUUACGGAGCAACGCCGCGUGAGUGAUGAAGGUCUUCGGAUCGUAAAACUCUGUUAUUAGGGAAGAACAAAUGUGUAAGUAACUAUGCACGUCUUGACGGUACCUAAUCAGAAAGCCACGGCUAACUACGUG